GAUGUAGCUCAGUGUUAGAGUACUUGCCUAGCAUGUAAGAGGCCCUGGGUUCAAUCCCCAGCAAAACA
RNAcentral lists this transfer RNA (68 nucleotides) under Marmota monax (woodchuck). RNAcentral's name for it is "tRNA.Ala". The stretch from base 3 to 63 matches the Rfam family "tRNA", at positions 6 to 65 of the family's 71-position model. From Rfam's summary of the family: Transfer RNA (tRNA) molecules are approximately 80 nucleotides in length. Their secondary structure includes four short double-helical elements and three loops (D, anti-codon, and T loops). Lineage: Eukaryota; Metazoa; Chordata; Mammalia; Rodentia; Sciuridae. The record is from RNAcentral.